GACGUAGGAGGCAAGCGUUAUCCGGAGUUACUGGGCGUAAAGAGUGCGUAGGCGGACUGGUAAGUAGUUCGUGAAAUUGCUCGGCUAAACCGGGCGACGGCGAGCUAGACUGCUAGUCUAGAGGCAGGUAGAGGGGUGCGGAAUUCCGGGUGUAGCGGUGAAAUGUGUAGAUAUCCGGAGGAACACCAGAGGUGCAGACGGCGCCCUGGGCCUGACCUGACGCUGAGGCACGAAAGCUUGGGGAGCGAACGGG
RNAcentral lists this ribosomal RNA (253 nucleotides) under uncultured bacterium. Its description in RNAcentral is "partial 16S ribosomal RNA". It matches the Rfam family "Bacterial small subunit ribosomal RNA", at positions 524 to 776 of the family's 1533-position model. The record is from RNAcentral.